UGCAGUCGAGCGGGGGAAGUUGCUUCGGUAACUGACCUAGCGGCGGACSGKUGAGUAAUACUUAGGAAUCUGCCUAUUAAUGGGGGACAACAUCUCGAAAGGGAUGCUAAUACCGCAUACGCCCUACGGGGGAAAGCAGGGGAUCACUUGUGACCUUGCGUUAAUAGAUGAGCCUAAGUCGGAUUAGCUAGUUGGUGGGGUAAAGGCCUACCAAGGCGACGAUCUGUAGCGGGUCUGAGAGGAUGAUCCGCCACACUGGGACUGAGACACGGCCCAGACUCCUACGGGAGGCAGCAGUGGGGAAUAUUGGACAAUGGGGGGAACCCUGAUCCAGCCAUGCCGCGUGUGUGAAGAAGGCCUUAUGGUUGUAAAGCACUUUAAGCGAGGAGGAGGCUCUCUUGGUUAAUACCCAAGAUGAGUGGACGUUACUCGCAGAAUAAGCACCGGCUAACUCUGUGCCAGCAGCCGCGGUAAUACAGAGGGUGCGAGCGUUAAUCGGAUUUACUGGGCGUAAAGCGUGCGUAGGCGGCUUUUUAAGUCGGAUGUGAAAUCCCCGAGCUUAACUUGGGAAUUGCAUUCGAUACUGGGAAGCUAGAGUAUGGGAGAGGAUGGUAGAAUUCCAGGUGUAGCGGUGAAAUGCGUAGAGAUCUGGAGGAAUACCGAUGGCGAAGGCAGCCAUCUGGCCUAAUACUGACGCUGAGGUACGAAAGCAUGGGGAGCAAACAGGAUUAGAUACCCUGGUAGUCCAUGCCGUAAACGAUGUCUACUAGCCGUUGGGGCCUUUGAGGCUUUAGUGGCGCAGCUAACGCGAUAAGUAGACCGCCUGGGGAGUACGGUCGCAAGACUAAAACUCAAAUGAAUUGACGGGGGCCCGCACAAGCGGUGGAGCAUGUGGUUUAAUUCGAUGCAACGCGAAG
Molecule: ribosomal RNA, 917 nt
Filed under: uncultured bacterium
Lineage: Bacteria
Description: bacterial SSU rRNA
Rfam family: Bacterial small subunit ribosomal RNA
Source: RNAcentral